Molecule: ribosomal RNA, 488 nt
Filed under: uncultured bacterium
Lineage: Bacteria
Description: partial 16S ribosomal RNA
Rfam family: Bacterial small subunit ribosomal RNA
Source: RNAcentral
AUUGAACGCUGGCGGCAUGCUUUACACAUGCAAGUCGAACGGCAGCACAGGGAGCUUGCUCCUGGGUGGCGAGUGGCGAACGGGUGAGUAAUGUAUCGGAACGUGCCUGGUAGUGGGGGAUAACUACUCGAAAGAGUGGCUAAUACCGCAUGCGAUCUUUGGAUGAAAGCGGGGGACCUUCGGGCCUCGUGCUACUGGAGCGGCCGAUAUCAGAUUAGGUUGUUGGUGGGGUAAAGGCCUACCAAGCCUGCGAUCUGUAGCUGGUCUGAGAGGACGACCAGCCACACUGGGACUGAGACACGGCCCAGACUCCUACGGGAGGCAGCAGUGGGGAAUUUUGGACAAUGGGCGCAAGCCUGAUCCAGCAAUGCCGCGUGCAGGACGAAGGCCUUCGGGUUGUAAACUGCUUUUGUACAGAACGAAAAGUCUCUGGCUAAUAUCUAGAGAUCAUGACGGUACUGUAAGAAUAAGCACCGGCUAACUACGUG